UUUUUUUUUUUUUUUUUUUUUAACCUCAGUAAAGAGAAAAGUGAGGAAGCAACUUAUGGUACAUCCAAACAAAGCCAGCCAUAAAGAUCUUAUUAGUAGGGAAGACCAUAAAACUGAAGAGUCUCACUUGGCAUGGGAUGGACAGGAUCAGUUAAAUUAGGACACGGGCUAUACUACUUUUGUAAUCUGCACUCCUACAGAAUGACAGAUGCCACCUAUGACAAGAGCAAGCGUAUCUGCAGAUGGAGCCUACAACAUUCACAACAGAAGAUAAACAUAGUGUUAUAAACCAAGUUUCCCUACAUACAAACGUCAGACGGCGACUCACUGGAGUUCAGGAACAAGAGCAAAAGGCAAGGAAAAGGAACAUCUUAUCACUGCUCCCAAAGCAUCUGCAUCUGUUUCAUAAAACCCAGCUUCAGAAUGUGCUCAUUUUCCCAUACUGUGAUGACCUCUGGAAGACCCUCCCAAUCUCAACCAUUCCACAGUUCUGUUUCCUGCAAACUGUUAAACGUUUUCAUAAAACAUACUUACAUCAAUGCCAUUGAUGAAAAGUAUUCUUCUGAAUUCCACUUAAAGCCUUACAUAUAUAACAUAGUAAAGCAGGUUCAAUAAAAAUAAUAAUAAUAAUGAAACACUAUAAUAACAAUAAAAGACAGAAACAUAACAACGCAGCACAGAAAAUUACUUGUAAAGUGCUUUGUCUUGAAAAAAAUGUCAAUAUGAAAAGUCCUCUUUUUUUUUUUUUUUUGCCCAGGUCUUCAUGAUAUCCCAUAAUAACUUGAUAUCUUCUUGAUAUACCAUGGUAAUAACUAAAGUAGCCACCCUUACUCAAAGAAUACAACUAUAGAGACCAAAUGCCUUUCUAACUAAGAUUUUUCAAUCACGUAUCUGGUUAAUAGAAUCACAAAAAAGUAUGGAAUUUUAUUCUUCUUUGUCCACUCAUAUAUUUUAUUUAUCCCAGAACAUAAAUAGCCACACUGUCUAUGUUUACUGAUAACUUCAGCAAUAUUUAAGUUCUUAGAAGAGAUCACUACAUGAAAAAAUAUGGAAGCUUGCAGUUCAUAAACAAAUAUAUAAAUCAGCAAAUGAAGAACUGUGAAAGAUAAUUAUCUUCAAUUGAUUGAAGAGCCCAAAAUUAGAAUGGUUUGAUCUAUUGUUUUAUUUUUGAAACCAACACCACUGUUUAUAUUAGCAUAUAUAUGAAACAAUUUGAAGGAACAAAAUCAGAUAUUUAAUGUUUACCAGAGAAACUGGAAACUGAUCCAAAUUUCACAUAAAGAAAAUAGGCUAACAAAAAUAAGGAAUAUAGAAACAUUUGGAAGUACUAAUCUACCUUAGAAUAUUAAAAUGAGCCAAGUAUAAGACUCCGUUCUAUUUGUUCUAUUUCUAUGUUCUAUGUGAAUGUCAAGUAAAUGAAUGUCAUGACCUCUUGACCAAUAAAAAAAAAAAAAGUAACCUUAUUGAAUGUAUUGCCAUUAAAUGUUCUGGAAUGUUGAUACUCAAAUAAUUUGGGGGGGGGGGGGGAGGGGGAGAAGGAACACGUAAAUGAUAUCAGAAGUAACAGAAGAGG
Molecule: long non-coding RNA, 1573 nt
Organism: Anas platyrhynchos (mallard)
Lineage: Eukaryota; Metazoa; Chordata; Aves; Anseriformes; Anatidae
Source: RefSeq, a predicted model, not a curated record